AUUGAACGCUGGCGGCAUGCUUUACACAUGCAAGUCGAACGGCGGCGCGGGCUUCGGCCUGGCGGCGAGUGGCGAACGGGUGAGUAAUACAUCGGAACGUGCCCAGUAGUGGGGGAUAGCUCGGCGAAAGCCGGAUUAAUACCGCAUACGACCUGAGGGUGAAAGCGGGGGAUCUUCGGACCUCGCGCUAUUGGAGCGGCCGAUGGCAGAUUAGCUAGUUGGUGGGGUAAAGGCCUACCAAGGCGACGAUCUGUAGCUGGUCUGAGAGGACGACCAGCCACACUGGGACUGAGACACGGCCCAGACUCCUACGGGAGGCAGCAGUGGGGAAUUUUGGACAAAGGGCGAAAGCCUGAUCCAGCAAUGCCGCGUGUGUGAUGAAGGCCUUCGGGUUGUAAAGCACUUUUGGCGGGAACGAAAAGGACUGUGCCAAUACCACGGUUCGAUGACGGUACCCGCAGAAUAAGCACCGGCUAACUACGUG
RNAcentral lists this ribosomal RNA (484 nucleotides) under uncultured bacterium. RNAcentral's name for it is "partial 16S ribosomal RNA". It matches the Rfam family "Bacterial small subunit ribosomal RNA", at positions 29 to 507 of the family's 1533-position model. The record is from RNAcentral.